RNAcentral lists this ribosomal RNA (460 nucleotides) under uncultured bacterium. RNAcentral's name for it is "partial 16S ribosomal RNA". It matches the Rfam family "Bacterial small subunit ribosomal RNA", at positions 338 to 795 of the family's 1533-position model. The record is from RNAcentral.
CCUACGGGCGGCAGCAGUGAGGAAUAUUGGUCAAUGGACGAGAGUCUGAACCAGCCAAGUAGCGUGAAGGAUGACUGCUCUAUGGGUUGUAAACUUCUUUUAUAUGGGAAUAAAACGUUCCCCGUGUGGGAUUUUGUAUGUACCAUAUGAAGCAGGAUCGGCUAACUCCGUGCCAGCCGCCGCGGUAAUACGGAGGAUCCGAGCGUUAUCCGGAGUUAUUGGGUUUAAAGGGAGCGUAGGUGGAUUGUUAAGUCAGUUGUGAAAGUUUGCGGCUCAACCGUAAAAUUGAAGUUGAAACUGGCAGUCUUGAGUACAGUAGAGGUGGGCGGAAUUCGUGGUGUAGCGGUGAAAUGCUUAGAUAUCACGAAGAACUCCGAUUGCGAAGGCAGUUCACUGGACUGCAACUGACACUGAGGCUCGAAAGUGUGGGUAUCAAACAGGAUUAGAUACCCUGGUAGUC